RNAcentral lists this ribosomal RNA (433 nucleotides) under uncultured bacterium. Its description in RNAcentral is "partial 16S ribosomal RNA". It matches the Rfam family "Bacterial small subunit ribosomal RNA", at positions 29 to 507 of the family's 1533-position model. The record is from RNAcentral.
AACGAACGCUGGCGGCAUGCCUAACACAUGCAAGUCGAACGAAACCUUCGGGUCUAGUGGCGCACGGGUGCGUAACGCGUGGGAACCUGCCCUUAGGUUCGGCAUAACUCCCCGAAAGGGGUGCUAAUACCGGAUAAUGUCUUCGGACCAAAGAUUUAUCGCCUUUGGAUGGGCCCGCGUUGGAUUAGCUAGUUGUUAGGGUACAAGCCUACCACGGCGACGAUCCAUAGCUGGUCGGAGAGGAUGAUCAGCCACACUGGGACUGAGACACGGCCCAGACUGCUACGGGAGGCAGCAGUGGGGAAUAUUGGACAAUGGGCGAAAGCCUGAGCCAGCAAGGCCGGGUGAGUGAUGAAGGCCUUAGGGUUGUAAAGCUCUUUUAACCGGGAUGAUAAUGACAGUACCGGGAGAAUAAGCUCCGGCUAACUCCGUG